AAAUUGAAGAGUUUGAUCAUGGCUCAGAUUGAACGCUGGCGGCAGGCCUAACACAUGCAAGUCGAACGGUAACAGGAAGCAGCUUGCUGCUUCGCUGACGAGUGGCGGACGGGUGAGUAAUGUCUGGGAAACUGCCUGAUGGAGGGGGAUAACUACUGGAAACGGUAGCUAAUACCGCAUAACGUCGCAAGACCAAAGAGGGGGACCUUCGGGCCUCUUGCCAUCGGAUGUGCCCAGAUGGGAUUAGCUUGUUGGUGGGGUAACGGCUCACCAAGGCGACGAUCCCUAGCUGGUCUGAGAGGAUGACCAGCCACACUGGAACUGAGACACGGUCCAGACUCCUACGGGAGGCAGCAGUGGGGAAUAUUGCACAAUGGGCGCAAGCCUGAUGCAGCCAUGCCGCGUGUAUGAAGAAGGCCUUCGGGUUGUAAAGUACUUUCAGCGGGGAGGAAG
This 453-nucleotide ribosomal RNA is filed under the name Shigella sonnei. RNAcentral's name for it is "bacterial SSU rRNA". It matches the Rfam family "Bacterial small subunit ribosomal RNA", at positions 1 to 450 of the family's 1533-position model. Lineage: Bacteria; Pseudomonadati; Pseudomonadota; Gammaproteobacteria; Enterobacterales; Enterobacteriaceae. The record is from RNAcentral.